UUUAUGAUAGUUAUACGAAGCAAGAGGAAGCAAAUAGCAGAUAAAAAGUUAUACGAAGCAGGAGGAAGCAAAUAUCAGAUAAAAAGUUUCUAUACCAGAAG
Molecule: long non-coding RNA, 101 nt
Organism: Ipomoea nil (Japanese morning glory)
Lineage: Eukaryota; Viridiplantae; Streptophyta; Magnoliopsida; Solanales; Convolvulaceae
Exons: 3
Source: RefSeq, a predicted model, not a curated record